RNAcentral lists this ribosomal RNA (483 nucleotides) under uncultured bacterium. Its description in RNAcentral is "bacterial SSU rRNA". It matches the Rfam family "Bacterial small subunit ribosomal RNA", at positions 28 to 507 of the family's 1533-position model. The record is from RNAcentral.
GACGAACGCUGGCGGCGUGCCUAACACAUGCAAGUCGAACGGGACUUAUUGGAAAGCGGCUUCGGCCAAUGGAAGAUAAGUUUAGUGGCGAACGGGUGAGUAACGCGUGAGGAACCUACCUUUCAGUGGGGGACAACAGUUGGAAACGACUGCUAAUACCGCAUAACAUCUCGAUGGGGCAUCCCAUUGAGAUCAAAGCUUUAUGUGCUGAAAGAUGGCCUCGCGUCUGAUUAGCUAGUUGGUGGGGUAACGGCUCACCAAGGCGACGAUCAGUAGCCGGUCUGAGAGGAUGAACGGCCACAUUGGGACUGAGAUACGGCCCAGACUCCUACGGGAGGCAGCAGUGGGGGAAUAUUGGGCAAUGGGGGCAACCCUGACCCAGCAACGCCGCGUGAAGGAAGAAGGCUUUCGGGUUGUAAACUUCUUUAGUCAGGGACGAAGGACGUGACGGUACCUGCAGAAAAAGCAACGGCUAACUACGUG